Molecule: ribosomal RNA, 725 nt
Filed under: Psora saviczii
Lineage: Eukaryota; Fungi; Ascomycota; Lecanoromycetes; Lecanorales; Psoraceae
Description: SSU rRNA
Rfam family: Bacterial small subunit ribosomal RNA
Source: RNAcentral
UCUUAUUAAAGUAUGAUAAGAGAAAGAAAUGUAAUUUUUGCUCUUAGAAGUCUGUAUCUCGUGUAGUUGUAGUAGUUAAGGUAAAAGCUUAACUAGCUUUAUAUACGUAGUCGAAACUGAGAGGUUGAUCGAUCACAAUGGGCCUGAAUAAAGCCCAUGAUGAAUAUUACAGCAGUGAGGAAUAUUGGUCAAUAGCCUAACGGCUGAACCAGCAACUUGGAGGAAUGUAUAGCGAUAGCUAAUUGUUUAUUGAAUAAAAUUCUGGGUAGAAUUAUGAUUAUGACAUUGUCUACCCAUGUGUCUUGACCAAAUUACGUGCCAGCAGUCGCGGUAAUACGUAGAAGACUAGUGUUAUUCAUCUUUAAUAGGUUUAAAGGGUACCUAGACGGUAAAUCAAGCCCUAGACGGGACUAAUUUGCUAGAGUUACUUGUGAGGGGGUUUUAAAGUACUAAUGGUGUAGAGAUGAAAUUUUGUAAUACCAUUUUUCGAAAGGAAAGUAAUGGCACAGGUAUAGGCGAAAGCAUCCCCUUAUGUGAUAACUGACGUUGAAGGACGAAGGCUUUGAGUCGCGAACAGGAUUAGAUACCCUGGUAGUCAAAGCAGAAAAUAAUGAGUGUCAUAGAUUAGAUAUUAAAGUUUAUUCUAUAAAUGAAAGUGUAAGCACUCCACCUCAAGAGUAAUUUGGCAACAUUGGAACUGAAAUCAUUAGACCGUUUCUGAAACC